Molecule: transfer RNA, 113 nt
Organism: Exophiala mesophila
Lineage: Eukaryota; Fungi; Ascomycota; Eurotiomycetes; Chaetothyriales; Herpotrichiellaceae
Rfam family: tRNA
About the family: Transfer RNA (tRNA) molecules are approximately 80 nucleotides in length. Their secondary structure includes four short double-helical elements and three loops (D, anti-codon, and T loops). Further hydrogen bonds mediate the characteristic L-shaped molecular structure. tRNAs have two regions of fundamental functional importance: the anti-codon, which is responsible for specific mRNA codon recognition, and the 3' end, to which the tRNAs corresponding amino acid is attached (by aminoacyl-tRNA synthetases). tRNAs cope with the degeneracy of the genetic code in two manners: having more than one tRNA (with a specific anti-codon) for a particular amino acid; and 'wobble' base-pairing, i.e. permitting non-standard base-pairing at the 3rd anti-codon position.
Source: Rfam
GGCGGGAUGGCCUAAUGGUAAGGCGUUGCUUUCCGGUCCGAGUUCUGCACUUCCUCCAGGUGCUCUCCUUUGGAUCAUGGCAAAGAUUGUGGGUUCGAGUCCCAUUUCCGUCG